RNAcentral lists this ribosomal RNA (253 nucleotides) under uncultured bacterium. RNAcentral describes it as "partial 16S ribosomal RNA". It matches the Rfam family "Bacterial small subunit ribosomal RNA", at positions 524 to 776 of the family's 1533-position model. The record is from RNAcentral.
UACGGAGGGUGCGAGCGUUGUCCGGAAUCACUGGGCGUAAAGGGCGCGUAGGCGGCCUGAUAAGUAGGGGGUGAAAUCCUGCGGCUUAACCGCAGGGCUGCCUUCUAAACUGUCAGGCUCGAGCACAGUAGAGGCAGGUGGAAUUCCCGGUGUAGCGGUGGAAUGCGUAGAGAUCGGGAAGAACACCAAUGGCGAAGGCAGCUCGCUGGGACGGUACUGACGCUGAGACGCGAAAGCGUGGGGAGCAAACAGG